UCCGAUAAUGUCGCGUUUGUGAGGAUUCGUUUGACUUCGUCCAUUUGUCUUCUUCAUGGACUCGUUCUUCUUCCUUCGGGAUCUCAGGCAAGAUGACAUACCCUCGAAAUCACUUCUAUGUUUGCUUGCUAGUUGUUCGUUCUAUCUCUUUGUCGUGCUACCUACCACUUGUCAUAUCAUGCCUCCCAUAUUGCCAUGCCAAGCCUCUAACCCACCUUCCUAGCAAACCGUUGUUUGGCUAUGUUAUCGCUUUUGCUCAGCCCCUCUUAUAGCGUUGCUAGUUGCAGGUGAAGCUGAAGUUUGUUCCAUGUUGGAACAUGGAUAUGUUGGGAUAUCACAAUACCUCUUAUUUUAAUUAAUGCAUCUAUAUACUUGGUAAAGGGUGAAUGGCCCGGCCUUAUGCCUGGUGUUUGGUUCCACUCUUGCCGCUCUAGUUUCCGUCAUACCGAUGUUAUGUUCCUUGAUUUUGCGUUUGUUAGGCGAUUUGGUGUUAUGGGAACCCCUUGACAGUUCGCUUUGAAUAAAACUCCUCCAGCAAGGCCCAACCUUGGUUUUACAUUUGCCUAACAACCUAUUACCCUUCCCUUGGGUCGGCCAACCCAAGGGUCAUCUUUAUUUUAACCCCCCGAGCCAGUGCUUCUCUAAGUGUUGGUCCGAACCGAGUAGACUGCGGGGUCACCUCCGGGAAACUUGAGGUUUGGUUUUACUCGUAGGAUGUCUCAUCCGGUGUUGCCCUGAGAACGAGAUAUGUGCAGCUCCUAUCGGGAUUGUCGGCACAUCGGGCGGCUUUGCUGGUCUUGUUUUACCAUUGUCGAAAUGUCUUGUAACCAGGAUUCUGUGACUGAUCGGGUCUUCUCGGGAGAAGGAAUAUCCUUUGUUGACCGUGAGAGCUUGUGAUGGGCUAAGUUGGGACACCCCUGCAGGGCAUAAACUUUUGAGAGCCGUGCCCGCGGUUAUGUGGUAGAUGGGAAUUUGUUAAUAUCUGGUUGUAGAGAACUUGACACUUAACUUAAUUAAAAUGCAUCAACCGCGUGUGUAACCGUGAUGGUCUCUUCUCGGGGGAGUCUGGGAAGUGAACACGGUUCUUGGGUUAUGUUUGAAUGUAAGUAGUUUCAGGAUCACUUCUUGAUCACUUCUAGCUUACGACCGUUGUGUUGCUUCUCUUCUCGCUCUUAUUUGCAUAUGUUAGCCACCAUAUUUGCUUAGUGCUUGCUGCAGCUCCACCUCAUUACCCUAUCCUACCCAUAAGCUUAAAUAGUCUUGAUCUCGCGGGUGUGAGAUUGUCGAGUCCUCGUGACUCACAAAUACUUCGAAACAGUUCCAGGUGCCGAUGAUACCAGUGCAGGUGACGCAACCCAGCUCAAGUGAGAGCUCGAUGAAGACCUUGGUUGUUGUUAUGUGUCUUUUCCAGUUGAUCAGUAGUGGAGCCCAGUUGGGAUGAUCGGGGAUCUAGCAUUUGGGGUUGUCUUCUUUUAUUUUGGUUCCGUAGUCGGACCUUUGAUUGUAUUCUGGAUGAUGUAUGUUUAAGUUGUUAUUUGUGUGAAGCGGCGAUUGUAAGCCAACUCUUUAUCCAUUUCUUAUUCAGUACAUGGGAUUGUGUGAAGAUUACCCCUCUUGCGACGAAACCACAAUGCGGUUAUGCCUCUAAGUCCUGCCUCGACACGUGGGAGAUAUAGC
RNAcentral lists this long non-coding RNA (1677 nucleotides) under Triticum aestivum (bread wheat). RNAcentral describes it as "long non-coding RNA (TAES_LNC005471)". The record is from RNAcentral. Lineage: Eukaryota; Viridiplantae; Streptophyta; Magnoliopsida; Poales; Poaceae.